RNAcentral lists this ribosomal RNA (2218 nucleotides) under Escherichia coli. RNAcentral describes it as "partial 23S ribosomal RNA". It matches the Rfam family "Bacterial large subunit ribosomal RNA", at positions 357 to 2563 of the family's 2925-position model. Lineage: Bacteria; Pseudomonadati; Pseudomonadota; Gammaproteobacteria; Enterobacterales; Enterobacteriaceae. The record is from RNAcentral.
AUACAGGGUGACAGCCCCGUACACAAAAAUGCACAUAUUGUGAGCUCGAUGAGUAGGGCGGGACACGUGGUAUCCUGUCUGAAUAUGGGGGGACCAUCCUCCAAGGCUAAAUACUCCUGACUGACCGAUAGUGAACCAGUACCGUGAGGGAAAGGCGAAAAGAACCCCGGCGAGGGGAGUGAAAAAGAACCUGAAACCGUGUACGUACAAGCAGUGGGAGCCUCUUUUAUGGGGUGACUGCGUACCUUUUGUAUAAUGGGUCAGCGACUUAUAUUCUGUAGCAAGGUUAACCGAAUAGGGGAGCCGAAGGGAAACCGAGUCUUAACUGGGCGUUAAGUUGCAGGGUAUAGACCCGAAACCCGGUGAUCUAGCCAUGGGCAGGUUGAAGGUUGGGUAACACUAACUGGAGGACCGAACCGACUAAUGUUGAAAAAUUAGCGGAUGACUUGUGGCUGGGGGUGAAAGGCCAAUCAAACCGGGAGAUAGCUGGUUCUCCCCGAAAGCUAUUUAGGUAGCGCCUCGUGAAUUCAUCUCCGGGGGUAGAGCACUGUUUCGGCAAGGGGGUCAUCCCGACUUACCAACCCGAUGCAAACUGCGAAUACCGGAGAAUGUUAUCACGGGAGACACACGGCGGGUGCUAACGUCCGUCGUGAAGAGGGAAACAACCCAGACCGCCAGCUAAGGUCCCAAAGUCAUGGUUAAGUGGGAAACGAUGUGGGAAGGCCCAGACAGCCAGGAUGUUGGCUUAGAAGCAGCCAUCAUUUAAAGAAAGCGUAAUAGCUCACUGGUCGAGUCGGCCUGCGCGGAAGAUGUAACGGGGCUAAACCAUGCACCGAAGCUGCGGCAGCGACGCUUAUGCGUUGUUGGGUAGGGGAGCGUUCUGUAAGCCUGUGAAGGUGUGCUGUGAGGCAUGCUGGAGGUAUCAGAAGUGCGAAUGCUGACAUAAGUAACGAUAAAGCGGGUGAAAAGCCCGCUCGCCGGAAGACCAAGGGUUCCUGUCCAACGUUAAUCGGGGCAGGGUGAGUCGACCCCUAAGGCGAGGCCGAAAGGCGUAGUCGAUGGGAAACAGGUUAAUAUUCCUGUACUUGGUGUUACUGCGAAGGGGGGACGGAGAAGGCUAUGUUGGCCGGGCGACGGUUGUCCCGGUUUAAGCGUGUAGGCUGGUUUUCCAGGCAAAUCCGGAAAAUCAAGGCUGAGGCGUGAUGACGAGGCACUACGGUGCUGAAGCAACAAAUGCCCUGCUUCCAGGAAAAGCCUCUAAGCAUCAGGUAACAUCAAAUCGUACCCCAAACCGACACAGGUGGUCAGGUAGAGAAUACCAAGGCGCUUGAGAGAACUCGGGUGAAGGAACUAGGCAAAAUGGUGCCGUAACUUCGGGAGAAGGCACGCUGAUAUGUAGGUGAAGUCCCUCGCGGAUGGAGCUGAAAUCAGUCGAAGAUACCAGCUGGCUGCAACUGUUUAUUAAAAACACAGCACUGUGCAAACACGAAAGUGGACGUAUACGGUGUGACGCCUGCCCGGUGCCGGAAGGUUAAUUGAUGGGGUUAGCGCAAGCGAAGCUCUUGAUCGAAGCCCCGGUAAACGGCGGCCGUAACUAUAACGGUCCUAAGGUAGCGAAAUUCCUUGUCGGGUAAGUUCCGACCUGCACGAAUGGCGUAAUGAUGGCCAGGCUGUCUCCACCCGAGACUCAGUGAAAUUGAACUCGCUGUGAAGAUGCAGUGUACCCGCGGCAAGACGGAAAGACCCCGUGAACCUUUACUAUAGCUUGACACUGAACAUUGAGCCUUGAUGUGUAGGAUAGGUGGGAGGCUUAGAAGUGUGGACGCCAGUCUGCAUGGAGCCGACCUUGAAAUACCACCCUUUAAUGUUUGAUGUUCUAACGUGGACCCGUAAUCCGGGUUGCGGACAGUGUCUGGUGGGUAGUUUGACUGGGGCGGUCUCCUCCUAAAGAGUAACGGAGGAGCACGAAGGUUGGCUAAUCCUGGUCGGACAUCAGGAGGUUAGUGCAAUGGCAUAAGCCAGCUUGACUGCGAGCGUGACGGCGCGAGCAGGUGCGAAAGCAGGUCAUAGUGAUCCGGUGGUUCUGAAUGGAAGGGCCAUCGCUCAACGGAUAAAAGGUACUCCGGGGAUAACAGGCUGAUACCGCCCAAGAGUUCAUAUCGACGGCGGUGUUUGGCACCUCGAUGUCGGCUCAUCACAUCCUGGGGCUGAAGUAGGU